GCCCUCGUAGUGCAAUUGGUAGGAGACAACGGGUUUAGAUUCCGUACAGUGUCAGUUCGAAUCUGACCGAGGGCACCA
This 78-nucleotide transfer RNA is filed under the name Saprospiraceae bacterium. Its description in RNAcentral is "tRNA-Leu". It matches the Rfam family "tRNA". Rfam says of the family: Transfer RNA (tRNA) molecules are approximately 80 nucleotides in length. Their secondary structure includes four short double-helical elements and three loops (D, anti-codon, and T loops). Lineage: Bacteria; Pseudomonadati; Bacteroidota; Saprospiria; Saprospirales; Saprospiraceae. The record is from RNAcentral.